This 253-nucleotide ribosomal RNA is filed under the name uncultured bacterium. Its description in RNAcentral is "partial 16S ribosomal RNA". It matches the Rfam family "Bacterial small subunit ribosomal RNA", at positions 524 to 776 of the family's 1533-position model. The record is from RNAcentral.
UACGGAGGAUGCAAGCGUUAUCCGGAAUGAUUGGGCGUAAAGCGUCCGCAGGUGGCUAUGUAAGUCUGCUGUUAAAGAGUGAGGCUCAACCUCAUAAAAGCAGUGGAAACUACAUGGCUAGAGUGCGUUCGGGGCAGAGGGAAUUCCUGGUGUAGCGGUGAAAUGCGUAGAGAUCAGGAAGAACACCGGUGGCGAAAGCGCUCUGCUAGGCCGCAACUGACACUGAGGGACGAAAGCUAGGGGAGCGAAAGGG